Long non-coding RNA from Solanum pennellii, 531 nucleotides. RefSeq lists it as uncharacterized. Lineage: Eukaryota; Viridiplantae; Streptophyta; Magnoliopsida; Solanales; Solanaceae. The transcript is spliced from 3 exons. The record is from RefSeq and is a predicted model, not a curated record.
ACAAAUAUAGAAACUACAGGUGUUUUCUUUCCCUAUUCAUCUGGGAAACUGAACACCUCCUUUGACGAAUUUCAGCUAUUGAUCUUCAUUCUCCACACCGACCAAGCAUAGAAAACAUCAGUUACCUAGAUAAACUAUCAUAAUCAGAAAAGACGUCGACUAAUUUCAUCAUAGGCGGCCUCAAAUGUCUUACACAUGUGUCGUGACAUAUGACCCAACAAAAACAUUCCUUGCCAACCUCAUUGGGAGUCGAAGACUGUGUAGCAGAAUUAGAUUCUGAAGAUGCUGAUACCACACAUUUGCCCGUGAACAAUCAGAUUUAAAAGUUCUGCAAUUUUUCAGGCUUCUUCAAAUAAACAAAGAAAAUUAACUCAAUUGCAAUGCGACAUUACUGCUCUUGGAGCUUUUAGUGCACAACUCAUAACAUUGUUGAAAUGGUUGAUGGUUGAAUUCAUUACUUUUGGUUCUUUAGUAAACAAAUCUAUUAUUUCUGUCAUUAUUAUUUGUAUGUUUUUUUCAAUUUCAAAUACA